CCUACGGGGGGCAGCAGUGAGGAAUAUUGGUCAAUGGGCGUAAGCCUGAACCAGCCAAGUCGCGUGAGGGAUGAAGGUUCUAUGGAUCGUAAACCUCUUUUAUAAGGGAAUAAAGUGCGGGACGUGUCCCGUUUUGUAUGUACCUUAUGAAUAAGGAUCGGCUAACUCCGUGCCAGCAGCCGCGGUAAUACGGAGGAUCCGAGCGUUAUCCGGAUUUAUUGGGUUUAAAGGGUGCGUAGGCGGCCUUUUAAGUCAGCGGUGAAAGUCUGUGGCUGAACCAUAGAAUUGCCGUUGAAACUGGGAGGCUGGAGUAUGUGUGAGGCACGCGGAAGGCGUGGGGUAGCGGUGAAAUGCGUAGAUAUUACGCAGAACCGC
Molecule: ribosomal RNA, 375 nt
Filed under: uncultured bacterium
Lineage: Bacteria
Description: partial 16S ribosomal RNA
Rfam family: Bacterial small subunit ribosomal RNA
Source: RNAcentral